GGUUAAGCGAUUUAAUACACUUGUUUCUGCUUCUUUCUACUUCCACCUCACUGAUGGAGGCUCUACAGUUAUUAUAUACUGUUCAUUUUGCAAGAAUAGGCUUAUGGAGAUUUACUCUAAACAACAGACUUGGUCUCUGAAACAAUCUGCGGUAAGUUUGAAUACCGUGUUUUAACGGAUAGACUGCAACCAAAAAACAUGAAGGGCAAUAGGUGACAAUAUCAAAAAAUUGAACAGUGGGAGAAUGAGAAGACCUUAUGCGUUGUCGUGUCUACAAAGUGGGUCAUAAGUAAAACUGAUUUCUGUACGAUAAAAACUUUAAAUAAGGUUUAUUAAAGCUACACCGCCCGUUCUACAAUUUAACUUGUAUUGAGCUGCGCGAUUUUAUGCUUUUUUCAAGCAGACCUUUUUUCCAUGAAACUUGCAUCAAAUGCCUGCGAUAAAAACUUGCAUUUAGUUUUACAAAUUCUACACUUCUUAAUGUACCACUCAACUUGGAAUGAGCUACGUGACUUUAAUUUUUUUUAAGUCGACAUCUUUUGCACAAAACGUGCAGAAAUUAUUCCUACUGUAAAUAUAGAACGGGAGAA
This is a long non-coding RNA of Zophobas morio, 590 nucleotides long. RefSeq lists it as uncharacterized. Lineage: Eukaryota; Metazoa; Arthropoda; Insecta; Coleoptera; Tenebrionidae. The record is from RefSeq and is a predicted model, not a curated record. The transcript is spliced from 4 exons.